RNAcentral lists this ribosomal RNA (640 nucleotides) under uncultured bacterium. RNAcentral's name for it is "bacterial SSU rRNA". It matches the Rfam family "Bacterial small subunit ribosomal RNA", at positions 9 to 669 of the family's 1533-position model. The record is from RNAcentral.
UAGUUUGAUCCUGGCUCAGAUUGAACGCUGGCGGCAUGGCUAAAACAUGCAAGUCGAGCGCGAAAGAGGGAGCAAUCCCUCUAGUAGAGCGGCGAAAGGGUGAGUAAUACGUUUCUAUGUACCCCGAGGUCAGGGAUAGCUCAGGGAAACUUGAAUUAAUACCUGAUGUGGUCGCCGGGUCAAACCGGCCAUCAAAGGCUUGCCGCCUUGGGAGCAGGGAACGUCCUAUCAGGUAGUUGGUGAGGUAAUGGCUCACCAAGCCAUUGACGGGUAGCGGGUGUGAGAGCAUGGCCCGCCACAUCGGGACUGAGACACUGCCCGGACUCCUACGGGAGGCUGCAGUAACGAAUCUUCCGCAAUGCGCGCAAGCGUGACGGAGCAAUGCCGCGUGCAGGAUGAACCCCUUCGGGGUGUAAACUGCUGUCAGGGAUUAGGAACACAAUGACCAGUCCCAAAGGAAGAGACGACUAACUCUGUGCCAGCAGUCGCGGUAAUACAGAGGUCUCGAGCGUUAGUCGGAUUCAUUGGGCUUAAAGCGUACGUAGGCGGACAUGCGGGCGUCGUGUGAAAGCCCUCGGCUCAACCGAGGAACUGCACGGCGAACCGCAUGUCUUGAGAUCGGUAGGGGCGGUCGGAACGA